GAGAAUGGUUUCCCUAGCGGAAAAUCUAACAAUCCUUUGUAAUGAGCAAGAACAGAGAUUCAACAAGAUAAAGAACAUGCUCACCUCUUUGAUUCACGGCAUCACAAUAGCAGACAAACAAAAACUUAUCAAUCAAUCUCAACAUGCCACAUCGAUUAGUGAUGCUUCUGCCACCAGACCUACAAGUAGAGCUUUGCCCUUUACUGAAACUCCAUUGCCAGCAACGAAAGAUUUCAUUCCCAGAUUCAAAGGAGUAGACCCAAUGAGAUGGAUUGUGCAUGCAAAGCACUAUUUCAAAAUCUUUGGUACCCAAGAGGAAAUGAAGAUUUAUUUUAUCUUGGUUACUGAUUUUGCGGGCUUCGGC
This 364-nucleotide unclassified non-coding RNA is filed under the name Hevea brasiliensis (rubber tree). The record is from RNAcentral. Lineage: Eukaryota; Viridiplantae; Streptophyta; Magnoliopsida; Malpighiales; Euphorbiaceae.